AAUGAACGCUGGCGGCAGGCCUAACACAUGCAAGUCGAACGCCCCGCAAGGGGAGUGGCGCACGGGUGAGUAACGCGUGGGAAUAUGCCCUUCGGUUCGGAAUAACACAGGGAAACUUGUGCUAAUACCGGACAAGAUCUACGGAUGAAAGAUUCAUCGCCGAAGGAGUAGCCCGCGUAGGAUUAGCUUGUUGGUGAGGUAACGGCUCACCAAGGCGACGAUCCUUAGCUGGUCUGAGAGGAUGAUCAGCCACACUGGGACUGAGACACGGCCCAGACUCCGACGGGAGGCAGCAGUGGGGAAUAUUGGACAAUGGGCGAAAGCCUGAUCCAGCCAGGCCGCGUGGGUGAUGAAGGCCUUAGGGUUGUAAAGCUCUUUCGCCAGGGAAGAUAAUGACGGUACCUGGAAAAGAAGCCUCGGCUAACUCCGUGCCAGCAGCCGCCGUAA
Molecule: ribosomal RNA, 447 nt
Filed under: uncultured bacterium
Lineage: Bacteria
Description: partial 16S ribosomal RNA
Rfam family: Bacterial small subunit ribosomal RNA
Source: RNAcentral